Molecule: ribosomal RNA, 1352 nt
Filed under: metagenome
Description: bacterial LSU rRNA
Rfam family: Bacterial large subunit ribosomal RNA
Source: RNAcentral
AAAAAGUAGCGGAUGAGCUGUGGAUAGGGGUGAAGGGCUAAACAAAUCUGGAAAUAGCUGGUUCUCUCCGAAAACUAUUGAGGUAGUGCCUCGUGAUACACCGUCGGGGGUAGAGCACUGUUAUGGCUAGGGGGUCAUGGCGACUUACCAAACCAUUGCGAACUCCGAAUACCGAUAAGUGCUUUCACGGGAGACAGUGCACCGGGUGCUAACGUCCGGACACAAGAGGGAAACAACCCAGACCGCCAGCUAAGGUCCCAAAUAACUAGCUAAGUGGCAAACGAAGUGGGAAGGCUAAAACAGUCAGGAGGUUGGCUUAGAAGCAGCCAUCCUUUAAAGAAGGCGUAAUAGCUCACUGAUCGAGUCGUCCUGCGCGGAAGAUGUAACGGGGCUCAAGCUAGUAACCGAAGCUGCGGAUGCACAGCAAUGUGCAUGGUAGGAGAGCGUUCCGUGAGCCUGCGAAGGUGGGGUGUGAACCCUGCUGGAGGUAUCGGAAGUGCGAAUGCUGACAUGAGUAGCGUUAAAGGGAGUGAAAAGCUCCCUCGCCGAAAGCCCAAGGUUUCCUGCGCCACGUUCAUCGGCGCAGGGUGAGUCGGCCCCUAAGACGAGGCGGAAACGCGUAGUCGAUGGGAAACAGGUCAAUAUUCCUGUACCUCGUUGUGAUGCGAUGGGGGGACGGAGAAGGUUAUGCCGGCCGGGUGUUGGAUGUCCCGGCUCAAGCGUGUAGGAGUGCCGUCCAGGCAAAUCCGGAUGGCUUAUCCAAGGCGUGAUAACGAGCGCUCUUUUGAGUGCGAAGUGGCAGAUACCCUGCUUCCAAGAAAAGCCCCUAAGCUUCAGUCACAUCGGGACCGUACCGCAAACCGACACUGGUGGGCGAGAUGAAUAUUCUCAGGCGCUUGAGAGAACUCAGGAGAAGGAACUCGGCAAAUUGACACCGUAACUUCGGAAGAAGGUGUGCCUUUAGUAGGUGAAGUCCCUCGCGGAUGGAGCCCAAUGAGGUUGCAAAAAUCGGUGGCUGCGACUGUUUAUUAAAAACACAGCACUCUGCUAACACAAAAGUGGAUGUAUAGGGUGUGACGCCUGCCCGGUGCCGGAAGGUUAAGUGAUGGGGUGCAAGCUCUUGAUCGAAGCCCCGGUAAGCGGCGGCCGUAACUAUAACGGUCCUAAGGUAGCGAAAUUCCUUGUCGGGUAAGUUCCGACCUGCACGAAUGGCGUAACGAUGGCCACACUGUCUCCUCCUGAGACUCAGCGAAGUUGAAAUGUUUGUGAUGAUGCAAUCUACCCGCGGCUCGACGGAAAGACCCCGUGCACCUUUACUGUAGCUUUGCAUUGGACUGUGAACCGAUCUGUGG